UUCUAUUCUCUUAUUUCCAGCUAAACGAACUUUUCAUACUAAAGACAUAUAUUUACAAAUAAAUUAGUAAAUUUUAGUUCUAUUUUUCAAUUUUCAACAUAAGCAUUAUCCAUUUGUUUGAUUUUUAACUCACUGUAUAAUUUAUAUUUCUACAACCAUAUGCAUAGAAAAUCACGGUUCUAUUAAUGUGAACGAAUCGAUGUAUUCAUAUGGAGAUACCAUUUUAAUGUAUUGAUCGUGAAGAGUAGGGGGGUCAUCUAAGUGCAUUAUAUUUGUGUAAGGGUCGCUAAUUGAAAUUAAUGGCUCGGAGAUUUUGUAAUCUUCAAAAGAAUUCAUAUAGUCUGCAACGCUUGAAUUGCAAAGGCUUUCUUGGCCAAUUAGAUUCUCUGUACCACAUAUUUCCUCGUCAAGAAUGACAGUUUGCCCAUCUGUUGAAUCAUUUUGUACAUUACUACCAUUGGAACUGUAAAGAUUGAGCACUUCAUCUAUAUUCAUCAUAUUUAACGCGGAGUCUUUAUUUAUAAACACUUGGUCAUAGUACAUCUUAAAGGGCUUGAACUCAAUAUUCUGAGAAUACUCAGCCUCGUUAGCUUCAAAAUCUUUAUUUAGAGACAAAUUCUCAUUCAUUGUUUGUAAUGCAUUUGGCUCUCCAGAGAAAGCAUAGUCAGUAUUAAAGUUAUUGAUAUAGCUUUCAUCCAUUUUCAUUCGAACUUGACUUUCAAGAAAAUCCACAUUUUCAUUAGUAUUUUGGGCAUUUUCAGCAGUAUAUGAGCCGUCAAUACAUUCUUUUUGCGAGCUUUCCAAAUUUGGGGUUAAAGAUAAAAAGUUAGCAUUCUGUUCUAGGUCAAUUUCACAAUAGUUCUCCGGCCCUCCUAAAGUUGUAUUAUUUUGAGAAAAAGUAGUAGAUUGUGUAAGAUAUGUUGACACUGCUUCUCUAUAAGCGCUUGUAACUUUUUCAGGAGAAACUUUAGAGUCUAUACUUUUUACCCAAUAAUUGAGAGGCUUCAGCGAUGAUUCCAUUCUACUUUUCUCAUCAAUACUAUCUAUUUUGUUUUUCACACUUGAAUAUGAUGAAUUUGCUUCUGUAACUCCACUAUUAUCAGCAAAGCCGUUAAAUUUGCAUUGUUCAGUUUGUGAUUGAAAAAUACAGGCAUGCUUUAAUGCUUUCUUUACUCCUCCAUAAAUCGUAGGAUUAAAUGAUUUAGUGUUCAUCUGAUUUAUAGCUCCUAAACGUUUAUAAGAAACAAUAAAUACUCUUCUGCUAGGAACCCAAAUAAUUCUUUUAGGUAAAGGCUUGAGACGAUUUGCUUGUUCAUUUAAACUUAAAACACUAUCGGUAUCACUAUCUUGAC
This 1352-nucleotide non-coding RNA is filed under the name Cryptosporidium parvum. The record is from RNAcentral. Lineage: Eukaryota; Apicomplexa; Conoidasida; Eucoccidiorida; Cryptosporidiidae.